CAGUUUGGAAUUAUUAAAAUAAAAAAUAAAAAAUUCCCAAAAAUAUAUUCAUAUUGCAGCACAGCCCUACUGCUGUCCAGGUUCCUGUAUGGUGAUUUGUUUACCCGGGGAAGAGAUUUGUCCAUGAUGCAUGAUUGGAAGAAGGCAUGUCUGUGGAAGCAGGGGCAGUGUUCUGCUGGGAAACCUGAUGUCCUGGCAUUCAUGUAGAUGUUACUUUGACACUCUGACUACCUAAACACUGCUCUUCCCGAAAAUCAGUGUCCUUUUUCAGUAGGAUAAUUCUUCCUGCCACAAAACUGGUGUCUAGGAUGUGGGAUGUGCUGGACAAACAAGUCCUAUCCAUAUGGAGACCCCUCUUCACACCUCAUAAAGGAUCUGCUGCUAGCAUCUUGUAUCAGAUACCACAGCACACCUUCAGAGGUCUUGUGGAAUUGCUAUAUGUGUGUUAUCGACAAUACGCUAUAAUGUUAUAAAAGGUUUCAGUUACUUUAACGAUUAUUUAAUAAGAGCAGCGAAUAGAGUCAAUGAUGGAAAAUAACAAGCCAAUGAGCCAAAUAAUUUGCCAUAUAAAUUGUAUCCUUCACUUAUAUCCUACAUUCCAGGAUACUUUGUGGUAGAUUCAUGAUGUUCCAGUUGUUUCCACAACAAAGUAUAGAAAGUCUCAGGGAGGUGAAUGUAGGUUUGUACAGGAUCUGACCUCUUGAUGGCUUAUGGGAGUUUUCAGAUUUGAUCAUCUGUGUGAAAUUAAAUAGUUUCUUCAAUAACUAUUAAAAGGCAUCUGAAAUGUGUUCUCCAGAAGGGGUAGAGCGAUAGAGCGAUGUUUAUUUGCUCAAAAUGUUUAUUUGCUUUUUAAUUUCAAAGUCCAGAGCAUCGUGUUCGUGGAUUUUGUUCUAACUGCUUUCGGACCAGUGAGCCCUGCUGCCUGCGGGCAUCGGAAAAUCAAAGCAGAUUCAAGACACACUGUUCCAGAUGCAGUAAAGCAGCCCCAGUCUUCUCUAUGUUUCACACCAAGCAUCUGCACCUUGUGGUUCUGUGAUUCCGAUAUCCCCGCUUGGGAUCCGAGCGAUUUCCCCCGAUCUGGAAGAGGAUAUGUUGUCUGCAUCAGGCUCUGAGUAGCUCGAUGAAGGUGAGGAGGAGCAUUCCUCUCUAAAUCUGCUACCACUGUCAGUGGCACUCAAGGAGCUCCCCGAUGUUUGAAUAGGAAGUUAGCACUUUGCUCUAAUCUUGAUGACCCCCUCCUGACUUCAGGCCAUGCAAACUCCCACCCCUACCCCGGCAGCUGCCAUUUUUUCCCGACCUGCAUGCCGAGGUAUCGAGAUCCUGGGGGAAUCCUUAGUCUGCACAUCUUUUUUACCGGCCUCCACUAAUUAUUUGGCUGUCGUUGGGCCCGAUUUCACAACAGGGCCUUGUAGACAGGGACCAAGAGGUGAAGCACCAGUCAGGGGUAUUCAGGGAAUUUAUCCCUCAGUGCAGUGAGCACUGCAUGAUGCAGGCAUGUCUGUCUCCUGCUCAGGUGGCUUCUAUACGACUUGGUGCGCAAAGACAGCACUACAGUAGUUUCCUAUAUCAAUUAUCAGGGCGGUCUGCAUUCACGCCCUGUGUUCAGGUUGGGGCAGCGGAUUCUGCUCUGGGCUGAGAGUGAUUUUCAUCCCAGGGCAUAUAAAUCAGGAUGUAGACUUCCUGUUCCUGUUGACCCAUGGAGUGGUGGAGUGCAUCUGGCAUAUUUUCAGCCGUGCGUAAGUGGAUCUGUGUGCCUCCAAGGAGUGGAACUAUUGUCUCCUGUGGAUGGUGCCGAGGCUAUGCUUGUAAACCUUUUCUCCGGGAGUCCUAGCCAGUGUGUCCCACAAUCAGGUCUACCUUCUUCUUGUAGCUCCUCAUUGAUUUUCCUCUUGCAGUCAUGUCCAGGGAGGUUGGCUCAAUAUGUGCAACUGUAGUCAUAGGAACAUCACACUGCUUGGAGAUGGUCUUAUAGCCUUUACCUUAAACAUACUUGUCUAUAAUUUUCCUUCUAAUCUCUUGAAACAACUCUGUCCUUAGCUUUCUUUGGUCCAUGUUCAGUGUGGUGUACACCAUGAUACCAAACAGCACAGAGACUACUUCACCCUGUUUCACCCUAGGACACACUUUAGUUUGAUAAGUCCCUAUGGUCAAACUGUGUUCAAUCUUUUCUAGGGGUACCAUCAUUUUUGUCCAGGCCAGUUUCAUUUAGUUCGAUUUUUAAAUGCUUCUAUUGAACCAUAAUUCAAAAGCAAAAUUCAUUUGGCAAUCAGUAACUUUUUAUUUAUUGUUACUUUUGUCAGUAGUUUCAGUGAGCAUUGUGGGCUUUUCUUUCUUUACUGGAAGGGUACCAAACAUUUUGUCCAAAUCUGUAAUAUUACAUACAUUAUGAAGCACACUAAAUACUAGUAUUAGAAAUUUUUAGAAUUUGAGUUUGAAUGUUCCUGGAAUUUUCCCACAUACUUUGAGUAUUUUGUAGAGAAAUGGUUUGAGCUGCAUGUACAUAUUUUACAUACAGUAUAUGUUUUAUUAGGUUGUG
This is a long non-coding RNA of Hemibagrus wyckioides, 2536 nucleotides long. RefSeq lists it as uncharacterized. The transcript is spliced from 3 exons. The record is from RefSeq and is a predicted model, not a curated record. NCBI's taxonomy places the organism in Eukaryota, Metazoa, Chordata, Actinopteri, Siluriformes, Bagridae.